GAUGAACGCUGGCGGCGUGCCUAAUACAUGCAAGUCGAGCGAACAGAUGAGGAGCUUGCUCCUCUGACGUUAGCGGCGGACGGGUGAGUAACACGUGGAUAACCUACCUAUAAGACUGGGAUAACUUCGGGAAACCGGAGCUAAUACCGGAUAAUAUAUUGAACCGCAUGGUUCAAUAGUGAAAGACGGUUUUGCUGUCACUUAUAGAUGGAUCCGCGCCGCAUUAGCUAGUUGGUAAGGUAACGGCUUACCAAGGCAACGAUGCGUAGCCGACCUGAGAGGGUGAUCGGCCACACUGGAACUGAGACACGCUCCAGACUCCUACGGGAGGCAGCAGUAGGGAAUCUUCCGCAAAGGGCGAAAGCCUGACGGAGCAACGCCGCGUGAGUGAUGAAGGUCUUCGGAUCGUAAAACUCUGUUAUUAGGGAAGAACAAAUGUGUAAGUAACUAUGCACGUCUUGACGGUACCUAAUCAGAAAGCCACGGCUAACUACGUG
This 497-nucleotide ribosomal RNA is filed under the name uncultured bacterium. Its description in RNAcentral is "partial 16S ribosomal RNA". It matches the Rfam family "Bacterial small subunit ribosomal RNA", at positions 28 to 507 of the family's 1533-position model. The record is from RNAcentral.